UACGUAGGCAGCGAGCGUUGUUCGGAGUUACUGGGCGUAAAGGGUGUGUAGGCGGUUGUUUAAGUUUGGUGUGAAAUCUCCCGGCUCAACUGGGAGGGUGCGCCGAAUACUGAAUGACUUCGAGUGCGGGAGAGGAGAGUGGAAUUCCUGGUGUAGCGGUGAGAUGCGUAGAUAUCAGGAGGAACACCGGUGGUGUAGACGGCUCUCUGGACCGUAACUGACGCUGAGACACGAAAGCGUGGGUAGCAAACAGG
This 254-nucleotide ribosomal RNA is filed under the name uncultured bacterium. RNAcentral describes it as "partial 16S ribosomal RNA". It matches the Rfam family "Bacterial small subunit ribosomal RNA", at positions 524 to 776 of the family's 1533-position model. The record is from RNAcentral.